GUCUCUUAGAAAUUAUUAAGAGUCAGGCCUGCCCAGUGAUUGCUUUUUUUAACGGCCGCGGUACCCUGACCGUGCAAAGGUAGCAUAAUCAUUUGCCUUUUAAUUGGAGGCUGGUAUGAACGGUUUGACGAGAGUAAAGCUGUCUCACACACAUUAAUUAAAAACUAAUUUAAAGGUGCAAAAGCCUUUAUAAAACAAAAAGACGAGAAGACCCUGUUGAGCUUUAAUUUUAAUGAGUACUAACUUUAUAUUAAUAUAAUUUAUUUACUCAAUAAAAAUUUUAAUUGGGGCGAUUAAGGAACACAACAAAGCUUCCUGAUUUUAAUAUUAAAUAUCUAUAAAUUAAAUCGAUCCAGCAAUGCUGAUCAACAAAACGAGUUACCACAGGGAUAACAGCAUAAUUCUUUUUCAGAGCUCAUAUCGAAAAAAGAGAUUGUGACCUCGAUGUUGGACUAGGGUAACGAAAAGGUGUAGCAGCUUUUUUGCUUGGUCUGUUCGACCAAUAAUUCCCU
Molecule: ribosomal RNA, 512 nt
Filed under: Theodoxus sp. 1 AFS-2019
Lineage: Eukaryota; Metazoa; Mollusca; Gastropoda; Cycloneritida; Neritidae
Also listed under: 1 other name
Description: partial 16S ribosomal RNA
Rfam family: Bacterial large subunit ribosomal RNA
Source: RNAcentral